CCUACGGGAGGCAGCAGUGAGGAAUAUUGGUCAAUGGCCGAGAGUCUGAACCAGCCAAGUCGCGUGAAGGAUGACUGCCCUAUGGGUUGUAAACUUCUUUUAUAAAGGAAUAAAGCGAGGCACGUGUGCCUUUUUGCAUGUACUUUAUGAAUAAGGAUCGGCUAACUCCGUGCCAGCAGCCGCGGUAAUACGGAGGAUCCGAGCGUUAUCCGGAUUUAUUGGGUUUAAAGGGAGCGUAGAUGGGUUUUUAAGUCAGUGGUGAAAGUUUGCGGCUCAACCGUAAAAUUGCCAUUGAUACUGGCAGUCUUGAGUACAGUUGAGGUAGGCGGAAUGCGUGGUGUAGCGGUGAAAUGCUUAGAUAUCACGAAGAACCCCGAUUGCGAAGGCAGCUUACUAAACUGUGACUGACAUUGAUGCUCGAAAGUGUGGGGAUCAAACAGGAUUAGAUACCCCUGUAGUC
This 460-nucleotide ribosomal RNA is filed under the name uncultured bacterium. Its description in RNAcentral is "partial 16S ribosomal RNA". It matches the Rfam family "Bacterial small subunit ribosomal RNA", at positions 338 to 795 of the family's 1533-position model. The record is from RNAcentral.